GACCGGGUCUUAGUCUAUACGAGUUUUUGAAAUAUUAAAAAAGGAGCAAUACCGCCUCUUGAUAGAACAAGAAAGAGGUUAUUGCUCCUUUUUUAUUUGUAUUUGUUUAAGACUUUUUUAGAUAAACUAAUAUUUUUUAAUGAUCAAAAAGGAAUACUUUUAAAUGCAAAUAAAUAAAAUAAAACUGGC
Molecule: unclassified non-coding RNA, 189 nt
Filed under: Turgenia lisaeoides
Lineage: Eukaryota; Viridiplantae; Streptophyta; Magnoliopsida; Apiales; Apiaceae
Description: psbA-trnH intergenic spacer
Source: RNAcentral